Molecule: unclassified non-coding RNA, 432 nt
Filed under: uncultured Pseudotomentella
Lineage: Eukaryota; Fungi; Basidiomycota; Agaricomycetes; Thelephorales; Thelephoraceae
Description: sequence contains ITS2
Rfam family: 5.8S ribosomal RNA (bases 1-154)
Source: RNAcentral
AACUUAUUGCAAUGGAUCACGUGGCUCUCGCAUCGAUUAAGAACGCAGCGAAAUGCGAUAAGUAAUGUGAAUUGCAGAAUUCAGUGAAUCAUCGAAUCUUUGAACGCACCUUGCGCUCCUUGGUAUUCUGAGGAGCAUGCCUGUUUGAGUGUCAUGAAAUUCUCAACUGCUUUAACUUUUAUGGUUGAAGUGAAGUUGGACUUGGAGGAAUAAUUGCUGGCGUGACCUUUUAGGUUGCUUGUUAGCUCCUCUUAAAUGGAUGAACUUUCCAUUUACAAAGUAACAUCAAUGUGAUAAUUAUCUACGUUGGAUGAGUUUGUACAAGGAAAGGUAUAUCUUGGAGUUCAAAUCCUUGAUGAAACAAAUGACAAAUUUGACCUCAAAUCAGGUAGGACUACCCGCUGAACUUAAGCAUAUCAAUAAGCGGAGGCU